Molecule: ribosomal RNA, 223 nt
Filed under: uncultured bacterium
Lineage: Bacteria
Description: partial 16S ribosomal RNA
Rfam family: Bacterial small subunit ribosomal RNA
Source: RNAcentral
UGAGCAAUCUGCCCUUCUCAUCGGAAUAACCAUUGGAAACGAUGGCUAAUGCCGAAUAUGACCUCGGAUCACAUGUUCUGAGGUGGAAAGCUCCGGCAGAGAAGGAUGAGCUCGCGGCCUAUCAGCUAGUUGGUGUGGUAAUGGCCCACCAAGACGACGACGGGUAGCCGGCCUGAGGAGGGUGACCGGCCACACUGGGACUGAGACACGGCCCAGACCUCCG